This 1470-nucleotide ribosomal RNA is filed under the name uncultured bacterium. RNAcentral's name for it is "bacterial SSU rRNA". It matches the Rfam family "Bacterial small subunit ribosomal RNA". The record is from RNAcentral.
GACGAACGCUGGCGGCGUGCCUAAUACAUGCAAGUAGAACGCUGAAGAGAGGAGCUUGCUCUUCUUGGAUGAGUUGCGAACGGGUGAGUAACGCGUAGGUAACCUGCCUUGUAGCGGGGGAUAACUAUUGGAAACGAUAGCUAAUACCGCAUAACAAUGGAUGACACAUGUCAUUUAUUUGAAAGGGGCAAUUGCUCCACUACAAGAUGGACCUGCGUUGUAUUAGCUAGUAGGUGAGGUAACGGCUCACCUAGGCGACGAUACAUAGCCGACCUGAGAGGGUGAUCGGCCACACUGGGACUGAGACACGGCCCAGACUCCUACGGGAGGCAGCAGUAGGGAAUCUUCGGCAAUGGGGGCAACCCUGACCGAGCAACGCCGCGUGAGUGAAGAAGGUUUUCGGAUCGUAAAGCUCUGUUGUAAGUCAAGAACGAGUGUGAGAGUGGAAAGUUCACACUGUGACGGUAGCUUACCAGAAAGGGACGGCUAACUACGUGCCAGCAGCCGCGGUAAUACGUAGGUCCCGAGCGUUGUCCGGAUUUAUUGGGCGUAAAGCGAGCGCAGGCGGUUUGAUAAGUCUGAAGUUAAAGGCUGUGGCUCAACCAUAGUUCGCUUUGGAAACUGUCAAACUUGAGUGCAGAAGGGGAGAGUGGAAUUCCAUGUGUAGCGGUGAAAUGCGUAGAUAUAUGGAGGAACACCGGUGGCGAAAGCGGCUCUCUGGUCUGUAACUGACGCUGAGGCUCGAAAGCGUGGGGAGCGAACAGGAUUAGAUACCCUGGUAGUCCACGCCGUAAACGAUGAGUGCUAGGUGUUGGAUCCUUUCCGGGAUUCAGUGCCGCAGCUAACGCAUUAAGCACUCCGCCUGGGGAGUACGACCGCAAGGUUGAAACUCAAAGGAAUUGACGGGGGCCCGCACAAGCGGUGGAGCAUGUGGUUUAAUUCGAAGCAACGCGAAGAACCUUACCAGGUCUUGACAUCCCGAUGCUAUUUCUAGAGAUAGAAAGUUACUUCGGUACAUCGGUGACAGGUGGUGCAUGGUUGUCGUCAGCUCGUGUCGUGAGAUGUUGGGUUAAGUCCCGCAACGAGCGCAACCCCUAUUGUUAGUUGCCAUCAUUCAGUUGGGCACUCUAGCGAGACUGCCGGUAAUAAACCGGAGGAAGGUGGGGAUGACGUCAAAUCAUCAUGCCCCUUAUGACCUGGGCUACACACGUGCUACAAUGGUUGGUACAACGAGUUGCGAGUCGGUGACGGCAAGCUAAUCUCUUAAAGCCAAUCUCAGUUCGGAUUGUAGGCUGCAACUCGCCUACAUGAAGUCGGAAUCGCUAGUAAUCGCGGAUCAGCCCGCCGCGGUGAAUACGUUCCCGGGCCUUGUACACACCGCCCGUCACACCCCGAGAGUUUGUAACACCCGAAGUCGGUGAGGUAACCUUUUGGAGCCMRCCGCCUAAGGUGGGAUAGAUGAUUGGGGUG